RNAcentral lists this ribosomal RNA (497 nucleotides) under uncultured bacterium. RNAcentral's name for it is "partial 16S ribosomal RNA". It matches the Rfam family "Bacterial small subunit ribosomal RNA", at positions 28 to 507 of the family's 1533-position model. The record is from RNAcentral.
GAUGAACGCUGGCGGCGUGCCUAAUACAUGCAAGUCGAGCGAACAGAUGAGGAGCUUGCUCCUCUGACGUUAGCGGCGGACGGGUGAGUAACACGUGGAUAACCUACCUAUAAGACUGGGAUAACUUCGGGAAACCGGAGCUAAUACCGGAUAAUAUAUUGAACCGCAUGGUUCAAUAGUUAAAGACGGUUUUGCUGUCACUUAUAGAUGGAUCCGCGCCGCAUUAGCUAGUUGGUAAGGUAACGGCUUACCAAGGCAACGAUGCGUAGCCGACCUGAGAGGGUGAUCGGCCACACGGGAACUGAAACGCGGUCCAGACUCCUAGGGGAGGCAGCAGUAGGGAAUCUUCCGCAAUGGGCGAAAGUCUGACGGAGCAGCGCCGCGUGAGUGAUGAAGGUCUUCGGAUCGUAAAACGCUGUUAUUAGGGAAGAACAAAUGUGUAAGUAACUAUGCACGUCUUGACGGUACCUAAUCAGAAAGCCACGGCUAACUACGUG